This 253-nucleotide ribosomal RNA is filed under the name uncultured bacterium. Its description in RNAcentral is "partial 16S ribosomal RNA". It matches the Rfam family "Bacterial small subunit ribosomal RNA", at positions 524 to 776 of the family's 1533-position model. The record is from RNAcentral.
GACGUAGGGCGCGAGCGUUGUCCGGAUUUAUUGGGCGUAAAGAGCUCGUAGGCGGUCUGUCGCGUCGGAAGUGAAAAUCCAGGGCUCAACCCUGGACCUGCAUUCGAUACGGGCAGACUAGAGUUCGGCAGGGGAGACUGGAAUUCCUGGUGUAGCGGUGAAAUGCGCAGAUAUCAGGAGGAACACCGGUGGCGAAGGCGGGUCUCUGGGCCGAAACUGACGCUGAGGAGCGAAAGCGUGGGGAGCAAACAGG